UGAGCUGGGGCGAGUCCCAGUCACUGCAGACAGCCCCGGCGAGCGCGGCAGCCCGGGUGGGGUUUGCAGGGCACAGGAAGGGGCUGGAGCAGCUGGGAGCGGUGGGUGCCGGGAGGAAGGAGGCAGGAGCCGGGAGAGCAAAGAACCGAGAGCAUCAGACCCCGGACAGCUCCUGAGAGACCAGACGCUGCUGCCCCCGUUUUGACCUGAGAGCUGAACAGCUGUUGCUUCCCCAGCGGGAUCUGUGCUGGGGAGAGCCCGUCAUUAACCCCUCCGUGCCCGGCCGUGUAGGGAGACCUCAGGCUAGAAACCGCCCCUGAUUCUGCUGACGGCAACUCCCGAGCUGAAACUCCAGAUGACUGAGCCCUUGGGGCUGGGCAGGCUGCAUAAUGAUGCCCACAGCUCACUCCAGCUCAUCCCGUCCUCACAAGGGACAGGGAAGAGAAAUGGCUGCAGUGGAGCCAGCUCAGGGGCCAGUGGCCUUUGAGGAGGUGGCUGUGUAUUUCACCAAGGGGGAAUGGGCUCUGCUGGACCCCGCUCAGAGAGCCCUCUACAGAGAUGUCAUGCAGGAGAACUAUGAGAAUGUGACCUCGCUGGCAAGUGAUGGUUAGGUGAGGGAGAACGAGGAGCAGAAUCCUCACCAGGAAGAUGCUGAGCUAGUAGAAGCACGUGAGGCAUUACUGUGAAGAUCCAAAGGGAAUGUGUCCAGCCCCAGUGAGCCGGGAAAAGCUGGUGAAAGUUACCACAGGCCAGAGAGAGAGCAGGGAAACCACUCAGAGGAGAAAGUGGAUGAACCCAUUAAUUAUCAGGGAACUCACAAGGACCUCAAGGAAACUACAUCCCAGGAGAAAAUCCUCAGGGAAAAGAGAAAGAAUACAUGCAUUGAAUGUGGGAAAAACUUCAAUUACCACUCAGCCCUUAUUCAACAUGAGAUAAUCCACAUAAAAGAGAGAGCCUAUGAAUGCUGUGAGUGUGAGAAAAGCUUCAAUCAUACCUCAGCCCUUAUUAGACAUCAGCGAAUACACAGAGGAGAGAGACCCUAUGAAUACUGUGAGUGUGGGAAAAGCUUCACUCACAGCUCAGCCCUUUCUACCCAUCAGCUAAUUCAUACAGGGGAGAGACCCUAUGAAUGCAGUGAGUGUGGGAAAAGUUUCAUUGACAUUGCCUCCCUUAUCUCUCAUCAAAAAGUCCACACGGGAGAGAAACCCUAUGAAUGUUGUGAGUGUGCCGAAAGCUUCAAUCAUAACUCAGCCCUUAUUAGACAUCAGAGAAUCACCACAGGAGAGCGAUCCUACAAAUGCUGCAAGUGCGGGAAAAGCUUCACUCAAAGUUCAAACCUUACUAUGCAUCAGAGGAUCCACACAUGAUUGAGGCCCUAUGAAUGCAGUGAGUGCAGGAAAAGUUUUACUGACAUCUUCCUUAUCUCUCAUCAGAAAGUCCACACAGGACAGAGACCCUAUGAAUGUUUGAGUGUGGGAAAAGCUUCACUUAGAACUCAGGCCUUCUCUAUCAUCACAGAAUCCAUAAAGGAUAUAAACUCCAUAACAACCUUCUCUAGAGCUGUCAGCGGAUUUUUUUUUUCUAAAUUCUUUUGGUAGUUCCCAGGUAGUGACUGUUAAGGCUGUUUGCAUCAUUUGCACACUGUAGUCCCUCAGCUCCCACACAUGAGUUGCCCACUUUUGAAGCCUGCCCAUCUUUGGGGUGGAUCCUGUGGUCCUUUCUAUCAACUCCAUUGUCCUACAAGUCAUGGGAGUGUGUGUCCUUUCUACCAGGAAUGUCCAUCACCCCAGGUGGGGGAGAUAAGGGGUGUCUUCAACCAGCUAUGUUGAGGUAAAAUCUACCUGGGUCUCAUCACUGUGGUUUCCAUGGAGUUAGCUAGUUUGAGUUCGCUUUCCUGAUGUAAAAAGACAGCUAUUCUUGCAGUAAAGACAUGGGCCAUGGAUAGUGGGUGGGGUUAUCUAGUACAUUUCCUCCUGAUCUGACCUAACCACCAUCACAUUUUCUCAUUGAAACAAACUUGGAGAUUCACUUUUAUACUCUUCCUUCCAGUGCAAAGUUAUUGUUCGAGUCGUCAAGUUCCUCUUUGAGGACAGAUUGUCUCAUUCCCAGUUGUUCUCACAUUACCCUGGAUUAUCCUGAACAGCAGUUAUUUUGUUGACCAUUUUUCUCAUUUAAAAUGUAUUUAAAUAUAGUGAAGAGCCAGAGCAGUGUCAGGGAAAUAAGGGUCAUUUCAGGCUCUGUGACACUGGAAGGAGAUGCAGGGGAAGGACGGAAUGUCUGAGUCACAUCACCCCAGAACUGUUACCUUGUGUGUGAGCCAUGCAGAGUUCACCCCUUCAUAUUCCUUCACUUCCCAAAGUGUCUGGUGAGGUAGUAUUCUUAGCUAUCUGUGCUUGGGAAUGGUGCUUGGAUGUCUUUGAUCCUAAAUCGGUCACUCUGGCAGGAGAUGAAAGUGUCACAGACUUGAAAGGGGAUUUCAAAUGGAUCCCAAGCACCGUUCAAAUCCCAUUUUCCCUCUAUUGGCAAAGCCACUUCUGGGAAGGUCAGCUGUUUCCCCCCCCCCCCUUUAUGAAGAUGCUAAAACUUUUGUAAAUAACACUAAUGAGACAGCACUGAGUGAAGCAGGUUUUAUGGGAGAAUCUCUCAUCCUCAUUCUGAGUUAUCAGAUGUAACCUACUCUGGAAUUUCCCUUUAAAUGAAAAUAAAAGUGUCUUCUACCUCUCUGUGAUAUGGGUUUUCUAUCUUUCAUGAAGGUUCCUUGGUCAUAUAACUGCAUGUUAGUUUUGUUUGACAGAAUGUAGUUCAGAUUUAUUGGGAAAUUUCAGACACAUGACCAUCAUUCUUUACUUCAGAUUUGUUUUCUUCCCUAUCCCUGCAUGGUGACAUGGAGAAAAUUCAAAUGUAGUUCAGUCAACAGGAGAGAAUACUCCAUGCUAUUGGACAUAUUGUUAAAGAAACAGUAGUGUGUUUAAAUCUCCACUCUGAAAAGGUGAACAGCAGCAGACCCCAAACCGUAUAAUUGACUGAAGUAAGUGCACAUGAUCACCAUGUGGUUCAAUUGUUUAAGUCAAUAUUGUCUCAGAUGAUCCAGGGAUAGAAUUCCACACCAAGUGACUUGGAACUAGGCAAAAUGCCCAGGUAUUUGGUUCCCAAGGCAUUUGUGACCCAGUCCCUACAGGAAGUUACUCCUGAAAAGAUCUCCUAGCUAAUCCCAAAAUUUGGGAAAUACUGUCUGUGAUGGGGUGUAUCAACCCUGCACUGGCACUCCUUGAGUUAACUACACCAUGUGGGCUGAAGAGGCCACACCCCCUUCCUGGGCAUGGUCCGACUGGAGACAGAGUAUAAAAGGAGCAGCUCAGCUCAGCCUGGGUGGACUGAGGAGGAGAGCAAAGCUAUGUUGUGGGCUCCUGCCAGGAAGCUGCUAGACCUCCAGGCUGCAGGGGCCAGCCACGCUGAGGCCCCUGCAGACACUCAGUUGACCGCCAAUGAUGUCCAGGAAGAGACGCCGGAUGCUGGGAGAUUACCAAUGCUGGAAGUAAGGGUGGGAAGUGACCAAGGGAAUGGGGCUGUUGCAGUGAGAGAUCAGGUCUGGACACAGGAGUAUUGGUUCCUCAAGACCCUGGGUCAGGACCUGGUUGAGUAGGGUGGUCCCAGGUGCCUCUACCUCUCACUGCACCCACCACUGGAUGAGGUCACCACCUGAAGACAAGCUGUCUUGACCAAGGGGACAGAUUUCUUUCCCCCCAAACCCCUGCCUUUAUCCUUACGCAGCCACACACCCUGCAACAGGAUGUAUCAACCCCAUGACACUGUCCAUAAUGAUGUAGAUGUGGAGAAUACAGAAGUGGUGUUUUUGUUGAACUCACCAUUUGUGGGUGCUAUAACUGUGUGUAAGAUGAAAUCAGUGUUGAGUGUGAGAUGGCUGCAGAAAAAUAGCUAUUUUUUAAUAGGAACCUCAUCUCUGUUAUCUUACAGAGAUUCUGAUCCAGGCCUGUAUCUAAUCCCUAACCACAACUGUACUCAAGGUUCACUGGUGGAAAGGGGGAUUAAAAGAAAACUAACACAUAUGGGAAGAUUCUUUAAUCAUUGAAUAGCUAUUGUUAUGAAUGAAAAUGAAAUUAAACAUGAAGUUACUCUUGAAUGAAGAAGAGACUUAAUUAUGUGAUCAACUGAAUUAUACUGGAGAAAUAAAACUUG
This is a long non-coding RNA of Malaclemys terrapin pileata, 4197 nucleotides long. RefSeq lists it as uncharacterized. NCBI's taxonomy places the organism in Eukaryota, Metazoa, Chordata, Testudines, Emydidae. The record is from RefSeq and is a predicted model, not a curated record. The transcript has 4 exons.